UGAUGAUUGUGAUCCAUCUAACUCUGACUUUAGGGCAAUGGCACCUCAGCAGACAAAGCGAGCUGGAGGUCACCGACAGCAUCCCAGCAGCUGCAGAAAAUGCCAGGCGACCAGCCAGAUUGGAGCUGCAUUGCCCGAGUCUAUGAAGUGGCUGCAGAGGAUUGCAAUACUUGCGAAUCCCCAAAGAGCUUUCAAAUGUGCCCCCAAAAUAAGAUGUUUAAAUACCUGACAGGCCUAGAGAGCAUGAAGUCAACUUGCAAUGCUACUGAUCAAAUGAGAAUGUUCCUUCGUCCCUUUCCUCUCCUGCCUUCCCCAGUAUAACCAUGACAGGACAAUAAGAUGGGGGACAAGGUUUUGGAAGUAUAAGACAGGGAUAGGAGUAGAGAACAUGGGGCAAGGUGAUUUAAACCUGUGUUUGUGGCCUAAAGUGACCAGGGCAUUUUGUAAUCUAACCAUGAACCAAAAACUUACGAGACUUCCCAAGGUUACAUCUGGGGAGUGGAAGAACUUUUCUCUACUGAAUGAAUUUUAUAAAUACAGUGGGAGGCAGAAGUAAAGAUACUUGUGAAUUAUAUCUCAGGAGUUCUGCUUAUUCAGCACCCUGGUCACAGAGCCACCCCUUUGCUCUGGGCCCCCAGAACAAAGAGGCAGUAGGACACAGGAAGAACAGUGUCCUCAGUGAUCCAGGGACUCAAAGACAGGCCAAUGUGUGAUGUUUUAGCCCCUCCUCUGGCUGCAGUGGCAGGGCUGGGGUCAGAGGGAGGAUGUUAUUGUGGAGAGUGCUGUUUCUUUUGAUGUGCAAGGAGGGGUACUAUGGGCUGAAUGUGUGUCCUCCCAAGUUCAUAUGUUGAAAUCCUAAUACCAAGGUGGUUGUAUUAGGGAGGUGGGGCCUCUGAGAGGUGAUUAGGUUCUGAGGGUAAAGGCCUCAUGAACGGGAUUAGUGAUUUCAUAAAAGAGGCUCCAGAGAGCUGUUUUGCCCAUUCCGCCAUGUUAGGACCAGCGAGAAAGCACCAUCUGUGAACCAGAAAGUGGGCCUUCAUCAGACCCUGAAUCUGCCAGUGCCUUGAUUACGGACCUCCCAACCUCGAGAACUGUAAGAAAUACACUUCUGUUGUUUGUAAACUAUCUGGCUUAUGGUAUUUUGUUAUAGCAGCCCAAAUGGACUAAGACAACGGAUGUUCAGCAGGAUCUGUUGGUCUCUUCUUCAAUGAAUUAUUAAAGGACUGGUAGGUGUUGUGCAUCUGAGGACUGGAAUGCAAU
RNAcentral lists this long non-coding RNA (1260 nucleotides) under Homo sapiens (human). RNAcentral's name for it is "HSALNT0109851". The record is from RNAcentral. Lineage: Eukaryota; Metazoa; Chordata; Mammalia; Primates; Hominidae.